This 445-nucleotide ribosomal RNA is filed under the name uncultured bacterium. RNAcentral describes it as "bacterial SSU rRNA". It matches the Rfam family "Bacterial small subunit ribosomal RNA", at positions 331 to 792 of the family's 1533-position model. The record is from RNAcentral.
CCAGACUCCUACGGGAGGCAGCAGUGGGGGAUAUUGCACAAUGGGGGGAACCCUGAUGCAGCGACGCCGCGUGGGUGAAGGAGUGCUUCGGCAUGUAAAGCCCUAUCGGCAGGGAAGAAGCAAGACGGUACCUGACUAAGAAGCCCCGGCUAACUACGUGCCAGCAGCCGCGGUAAUACGUAGGGGGCAAGCGUUAUCCGGAUUUACUGGGUGUAAAGGGAGCGUAGACGGCAGUGCAAGUCCGGAGUGAAAGCCCGGGGCUCAACCCUGGGACUGCUCUGGAAACUGUAAAGCUGGAGUGCGGGAGGGGCAGGCGGAAUUCCUGGUGUAGCGGUGAAAUGCGUAGAUAUCAGGAGGAACACCGGCGGCGAAGGCGGCCUGCUGGACCGUAACUGACGUUGAGGCUCGAAAGCGUGGGGAGCAAACAGGAUUAGAUACCCGGGUA